CAUGACUCAGUGGGUAGAGCAUGAGACUCAAUCUCAGGGUUGUGGGUUUGAGCCCCACAUUGGA
This is a non-coding RNA of Podarcis lilfordi (Lilford's wall lizard), 64 nucleotides long. The record is from the annotation of a GenBank genome assembly. Lineage: Eukaryota; Metazoa; Chordata; Lepidosauria; Squamata; Lacertidae.